Rhodococcus sp. MEB064 is the source of this 45-nucleotide non-coding RNA. Lineage: Bacteria; Bacillati; Actinomycetota; Actinomycetes; Mycobacteriales; Nocardiaceae. The record is from Rfam.
CCGGUUCCGGUUCACGCACUCGACAGUCGAGGCGACCCGGCGACC